Long non-coding RNA from Pieris brassicae (large cabbage white), 743 nucleotides. RefSeq lists it as uncharacterized. The record is from RefSeq and is a predicted model, not a curated record. The transcript is spliced from 7 exons. Lineage: Eukaryota; Metazoa; Arthropoda; Insecta; Lepidoptera; Pieridae.
AAAGGACGACGUUCUACUACGGAGAGACGCACGACGAAACGGAGAAGAUCUCGCACAAGCACCCCAGAAUCAAACAGACGCUGCGGCCGUUCGACUAAUCCACAAUCAAAUAAUAGGUGUGGAAAUAAUAUGGUUCGAUUAGGAGAGGGAUAUGCCAUGGUCCCUAAGGAUGUCCUAGCGAAUAUUAAGUGGGAAUCAUAUAAAAACGCAACAAGAAAACUACUAACAGCUGUUUUUCCUCGCGAAGUUCUGGCAACGCACUCUAUGUCAGGGAAACCAUCUCCAGCAUUUCCCAACAAACCAGCAAAGGCGAAGUUGGACCCAAAUGUCAUUAGCGAUAUUAUUAAAACCGUUAUGGCCAAAUGUGGCGUAGCGGAAAAUAUAGUGAGGAUGACCAUAACCACUAAAUGCGCUGACGAGAGUAAGAUGAUGCGAUACCGGAAGAGAUAAAGAGUUGAUGUUGAAAUUUUAAACACAACUCUAAACAACAAUAAUUUCUUAACGAGGAUGACCAUAACAACUAAAUGCGCUGACGAAACUAAGAUGAUGCGAUACCGGCAGAGAUAAAGAGAUGAUGUUGAUGAAGAGUAAAUUUUAUACACAACUCUAAACAACAAUAAUUUCUUAACGAGGAUGACCAUAACAACUAAAUGCGCUGACGAAACUAAGAUGAUGCGAUACCGGCAGAGAUAAAGAGAUGAUGUUGAUGAAGAGUAAAUUUUAUACACAACUCUAAACAACAA